Molecule: ribosomal RNA, 101 nt
Filed under: uncultured bacterium
Lineage: Bacteria
Description: partial 16S ribosomal RNA
Rfam family: Bacterial small subunit ribosomal RNA
Source: RNAcentral
UACACACCGCCCGCCACACCAUGGGAGUCAGUUGCUCCAGAAACGGCUGCGCUAACCCGCAAGGGGGGCAGGUCUUUAAGGAGUGACUGGUAACUGGGGUG